UACGUAGGGGGCAAGCGUUAUUCGGAAUCAUUGGGCGUAAAGAGCUCGUAGGCGGCUUGGUAAGUCAGGUGUGAAAUCUCCACGCUCAACGUGGAGGGGCCACCCGAAACUGCCAUGGCUUGAGUCCGGUAGGGGAGUGUGGAAUUCCCGGUGUAGCGGUGAAAUGCGCAGAUAUCGGGAGGAACACCCGUAGCGAAGGCGGCACUCUGGGCCGGUACUGACGCUGAGGAGCGAAAGCGUGGGGAGCAAACAGG
Molecule: ribosomal RNA, 254 nt
Filed under: uncultured bacterium
Lineage: Bacteria
Description: partial 16S ribosomal RNA
Rfam family: Bacterial small subunit ribosomal RNA
Source: RNAcentral